GAUGAUCGCUAGCUACAGGCUUAACACAUGCAAGUCGAGGGGCAUCAUUUCAGUUUGCUUGCAAACUGGAGAUGGCGACCGGCGCACGGGUGAGUAACACGUAUCCAACCUGCCGAUAACUCGGGGAUAGCCUUUCGAAAGAAAGAUUAAUACCCGAUGGUAUAAUCAGACCGCAUGGUCUUGUUAUUAAAGAAUUUCGGUUAUCGAUGGGGAUGCGUUCCAUUAGGCAGUUGGUGAGGUAACGGCUCACCAAACCUUCGAUGGAUAGGGGUUCUGAGAGGAAGGUCCCCCACAUUGGAACUGAGACACGGUCCAAACUCCUACGGGAGGCAGCAGUGAGGAAUAUUGGUCAAUGGGCGCAGGCCUGAACCAGCCAAGUAGCGUGAAGGAUGACUGCCCUAUGGGUUGUAAACUUCUUUUAUAUGGGAAUAAAGUUUUCCACGUGUGGAAUUUUGUAUGUACCAUAUGAAUAAGGAUCGGCUAACUCCGUGCCAGCAGCCGCGGUAAUACGGAGGAUCCGAGCGUUAUCCGGAUUUAUUGGGUUUAAAGGGAGCGUAGGUGGACAGUUAAGUCAGUUGUGAAAGUUUGCGGCUCAACCGUAAAAUUGCAGUUGAUACUGGCUGUCUUGAGUACAGUAGAGGUGGGCGGAAUUCGUGGUGUAGCGGUGAAAUGCUUAGAUAUCACGAAGAACUCCGAUUGCGAAGGCAGCUCACUGGACUGCAACUGACACUGAUGCUCGAAAGUGUGGGUAUCAAACAGGAUUAGAUACCCUGGUAGUCCACACAGUAAACGAUGAAUACUCGCUGUUUGCGAUAUACAGUAAGCGGCCAAGCGAAAGCAUUAAAUAUUCCACCUGGGGAGUACGCCGGCAACGGUGAAACUCAAAGGAAUUGACGGGGGCCCGCACAAGCGGAGGAACAUGUGGUUUAAUUCGAUGAUACGCGAGGAACCUUACCCGGGCUUAAAUUGCAUUUGAAUAUAUUGGAAACAGUAUAGCCGUAAGGCAAAUGUGAAGGUGCUGCAUGGUUGUCGUCAGCUCGUGCCGUGAGGUGUCGGCUUAAGUGCCAUAACGAGCGCAACCCUUAUCUUUAGUUACUAACAGGUCAUGCUGAGGACUCUAGAGAGACUGCCGUCGUAAGAUGUGAGGAAGGUGGGGAUGACGUCAAAUCAGCACGGCCCUUACGUCCGGGGCUACACACGUGUUACAAUGGGGGGUACAGAAGGCAGCUACCUGGUGACAGGAUGCUAAUCCCAAAAGCCUCUCUCAGUUCGGAUCGAAGUCUGCAACCCGACUUCGUGAAGCUGGAUUCGCUAGUAAUCGCGCAUCAGCCAUGGCGCGGUGAAUACGUUCCCGGGCCU
RNAcentral lists this ribosomal RNA (1359 nucleotides) under uncultured bacterium. RNAcentral describes it as "bacterial SSU rRNA". It matches the Rfam family "Bacterial small subunit ribosomal RNA", at positions 28 to 1381 of the family's 1533-position model. The record is from RNAcentral.